This 392-nucleotide ribosomal RNA is filed under the name uncultured bacterium. RNAcentral's name for it is "bacterial SSU rRNA". It matches the Rfam family "Bacterial small subunit ribosomal RNA", at positions 30 to 426 of the family's 1533-position model. The record is from RNAcentral.
AUUGAACGCUGGCGGCAUGCCUUACACAUGCAAGUCGAACGGCAGCGGACCUUCGGGUGCCGGCGAGUGGCGAACGGGUGAGUAAUAUAUCGGAACGUACCUUUCAGUGGGGGAUAACGUAGCGAAAGUUACGCUAAUACCGCAUAUUCUGUGAGCAGGAAAGCAGGGGAUCGCAAGACCUUGCGCUAAUUGAGCGGCCGAUAUCAGAUUAGCUAGUUGGUGAGGUAAAGGCUCACCAAGGCGACGAUCUGUAGCGGGUCUGAGAGGAUGAUCCGCCACACUGGAACUGAGACACGGUCCAGACUCCUACGGGAGGCAGCAGUGGGGAAUUUUGGACAAUGGGCGCAAGCCUGAUCCAGCCAUGCCGCGUGAGUGAAGAAGGCCUCGGUUGU